This 620-nucleotide ribosomal RNA is filed under the name uncultured bacterium. Its description in RNAcentral is "bacterial SSU rRNA". It matches the Rfam family "Bacterial small subunit ribosomal RNA", at positions 338 to 951 of the family's 1533-position model. The record is from RNAcentral.
CCUACGGGAGGCAGCAGUGGGGAAUUUUGGACAAUGGGCGCAAGCCUGAUCCAGCCAUGCCGCGUGCGGGAAGAAGGCCUUCGGGUUGUAAACCGCUUUUGUCAGGGAAGAAAUCCUUUGGGUUAAUACCUCGGAGGGAUGACGGUACCUGAAGAAUAAGCACCGGCUAACUACGUGCCAGCAGCCGCGGUAAUACGUAGGGUGCGAGCGUUAAUCGGAAUUACUGGGCGUAAAGCGUGCGCAGGCGGUUAUGCAAGACAGAUGUGAAAUCCCCGGGCUCAACCUGGGAACUGCAUUUGUGACUGCAUAGCUAGAGUACGGUAGAGGGGGAUGGAAUUCCGCGUGUAGCAGUGAAAUGCGUAGAUAUGCGGAGGAACACCGAUGGCGAAGGCAAUCCCCUGGACCUGUACUGACGCUCAUGCACGAAAGCGUGGGGAGCAAACAGGAUUAGAUACCCUGGUAGUCCACGCCCUAAACGAUGUCAACUGGUUGUUGGACGGCUUGCUGUUCAGUAACGAAGCUAACGCGUGAAGUUGACCGCCUGGGGAGUACGGCCGCAAGGUUGAAACGUCAAAGGAAUUGACGGCUGAGACGNGCGAGGACGACGACGAGGGAGGAGG